AUUGAACGCUGGCGGCGUGCUUUACACAUGCAAGUCGAACGGCAGCAUGGGAGCUUGCUCCUGAUGGCGAGUGGCGGACGGGUGAGUAAAACAUCGGAACGUGCCUUAUAGUGGGGGAUAACGAGUUGAAAGAUUUGCUAAUACCGCAUGAAUGUCUGAGGAUAAAAGCUGGGGAUCAGAAAUGACCUGGCGCUAUGAGAGCGGCCGAUGGCCGAUUAGCUAGUUGGUGAGGUAAAAGCUUACCAAGGCGAUGAUCUGUAGCUGGUCUGAGAGGACGACCAGCCACACUGGAACUGAGACACGGUCCAGACUCCUACGGGAGGCAGCAGUGGGGAAUUUUGGACAAUGGGCGCAAGCCUGAUCCAGCAAUGCCGCGUGCAGGAUGAAGG
This 389-nucleotide ribosomal RNA is filed under the name uncultured bacterium. RNAcentral's name for it is "bacterial SSU rRNA". It matches the Rfam family "Bacterial small subunit ribosomal RNA", at positions 30 to 414 of the family's 1533-position model. The record is from RNAcentral.